CCUACGGGGAGCAGCAGUGGGGAAUAUUGGACAAUGGGCGAAAGCCUGAUCCAGCCAUGCCGCGUGUGUGAAGAAGGCCUUCGGGUUGUAAAGCACUUUCAGUGGGGAAGAAAGCCUUGGGGCUAAUACCCUCGAGGAAGGACAUCACCCACAGAAGAAGCACCGGCUAACUCCGUGCCAGCAGCCGCGGUAAUACGGAGGGUGCGAGCGUUAAUCGGAAUUACUGGGCGUAAAGCGCGCGUAGGCGGUCUGAUAAGCCGGUUGUGAAAGCCCCGGGCUCAACCUGGGAACGGCAUCCGGAACUGUCAGGCUAGAGUGCAGGAGAGGAAGGUAGAAUUCCCGGUGUAGCGGUGAAAUGCGUAGAGAUCGGGAGGAAUACCAGUGGCGAAGGCGGCCUUCUGGACUGACACUGACGCUGAGGUGCGAAAGCGUGGGUAGCAAACAGGAUUAGAUCCCCUAGUAGUC
RNAcentral lists this ribosomal RNA (465 nucleotides) under Vreelandella stevensii. RNAcentral describes it as "partial 16S ribosomal RNA". It matches the Rfam family "Bacterial small subunit ribosomal RNA", at positions 338 to 795 of the family's 1533-position model. Lineage: Bacteria; Pseudomonadati; Pseudomonadota; Gammaproteobacteria; Oceanospirillales; Halomonadaceae. The record is from RNAcentral.